UGCGGGUGGAGCAGCCUGGUAGCCCGUCAGGCUCAGAACCUGAAGGCCGCAGGUUCAAAUCCUGCCCCCGCAACCA
RNAcentral lists this transfer RNA (76 nucleotides) under Rhizobium leguminosarum. RNAcentral describes it as "tRNA-Leu". It matches the Rfam family "tRNA". From Rfam's summary of the family: Transfer RNA (tRNA) molecules are approximately 80 nucleotides in length. Their secondary structure includes four short double-helical elements and three loops (D, anti-codon, and T loops). RNAcentral also lists the same sequence under 2 other names. Lineage: Bacteria; Pseudomonadati; Pseudomonadota; Alphaproteobacteria; Hyphomicrobiales; Rhizobiaceae. The record is from RNAcentral.